AUUUAUCUGUUGUGUUCGUGCUUGAUUUAUUUCCCUGAGCCGAUUAUGUAUAGAAAAGGAGAUGAGAUUGGUUGCUUUUGUGUAUGCCCACCUUGAAGUGGGAAACCUACGGUAAACAUCGAACUUCCG
Molecule: small RNA, 129 nt
Filed under: Thiotrichales bacterium
Lineage: Bacteria; Pseudomonadati; Pseudomonadota; Gammaproteobacteria; Thiotrichales
Description: partial 6S RNA
Rfam family: 6S / SsrS RNA
About the family: E. coli 6S RNA was the first non coding RNA to be sequenced, but its function was unknown until recently. It consists of 184 nucleotides that fold into an extended hairpin structure with a large single-stranded internal bulge.
Source: RNAcentral